GAGUUUGAUCCUGGCUCAGGAUAAACGCUGGCGGCGCACAUAAGACAUGCAAGUCGAACGAACUUAACUCAUUCUUUUAGAUUGAGAGCGGUUAGUGGCGGACUGGGGAGUAACACGUAAGCAACCUGCCUAUCAGAGGGGAAUAACAGUGAGAAAUCAUUGCUAAUACCGCAUAAGCUAGUAGUAUCACAUGAUACAGCUAGAAAAGGAGUAAUCCGCUGAUAGAUGGGCUUGCGCCUGAUUAGCUAGUUGGUGGGGUAACGGCCUACCAAGGCGACGAUCAGUAGCCGAACUGAGAGGUUGAACGGCCACAUUGGGACUGAGAUACGGCCCAGACUCCUACGGGAGGCAGCAGUCGGGAAUAUUGCGCAAUGGAGGAAACUCUGACGCAGUGACGCCGCGUAUAGGAAGAAGGUUUUCGGAUUGUAAACUAUUGUCGUGAGGGAAGAAGAUGACAGUACCUCAGGAGGAAGCUCCGGCUAACUAUGUGCCAGCAGCCGCGGUAAUACAUAGGGAGCAAGCGUUAUCCGGAAUUAUUGGGUGUAAAGGGUGCGUAGACGGGAAAUUAAGUUAGUUGUGAAAUCCCUUGGCUUAACUGAGGAACUGCAACUAAAACUGAUUUUCUUGAGUACUGGAGAGGAAAGUGGAAUUCCUAGUGUAGCGGUGAAAUGCGUAGAUAUUAGGAGGAACACCAGUGGCGAAGGCGACUUUCUGGACAGUAACUGACGUUGAGG
RNAcentral lists this ribosomal RNA (734 nucleotides) under uncultured bacterium. RNAcentral describes it as "bacterial SSU rRNA". It matches the Rfam family "Bacterial small subunit ribosomal RNA", at positions 9 to 751 of the family's 1533-position model. The record is from RNAcentral.